AUGCUUAACACAUGCAAGUCGAACGGUAACAUUUCUAGCUUGCUAGAAGAUGACGAGCGGCGGACGGGUGAGUAAUGCUUGGGAAUAUGCCUUAUGGUGGGGGACAACAGUUGGAAACGACUGCUAAUACCGCAUAACGUCUACGGACCAAAGGGGGGGAUCUUCGGACCUCUCGCCAUUUGAUUAGCCCAAGUGAGAUUAGCUAGUUGGUAAGGUAAUGGCUUACCAAGGCGACGAUCUCUAGCUGGUUUGAGAGGAUGAUCAGCCACACUGGGACUGAGACACGGCCCAGACUCCUACGGGAGGCAGCAGUGGGGAAUAUUGCACAAUGGGCGAAAGCCUGAUGCAGCCAUGCCGCGUGUGUGAAGAAGGCCUUCGGGUUGUAAAGCACUUUCAGUUGUGAGGAAAGGUUGUAGUUUAAUAUGCUAUAGCUGUGACGUUAACAACAGAAGAAGCACCGGCUAACUUCGUGCCAGCAGCCGCGGUAAUACGAGGGGUGCAAGCGUUAAUCGGAAUUACUGGGCGUAAAGCGUUCGUAGGCGGUUUGUUAAGCAAGAUGUGAAAGCCCAGGGCUCAACCUUGGAACUGCAUUUUGAACUGGCAAACUAGAGUACUGUAGAGGGUGGUGGAAUUUCCAGUGUAGCGGUGAAAUGCGUAGAGAUCGGAAGGAACACCAGUGG
This 680-nucleotide ribosomal RNA is filed under the name uncultured bacterium. RNAcentral describes it as "bacterial SSU rRNA". It matches the Rfam family "Bacterial small subunit ribosomal RNA", at positions 44 to 715 of the family's 1533-position model. The record is from RNAcentral.